Molecule: ribosomal RNA, 481 nt
Filed under: Streptococcus mutans
Lineage: Bacteria; Bacillati; Bacillota; Bacilli; Lactobacillales; Streptococcaceae
Description: bacterial SSU rRNA
Rfam family: Bacterial small subunit ribosomal RNA
Source: RNAcentral
GACGAACGCGGGCGGCGUGCUUAAUACAUGCAAGUGGGACGCAAGGAAACACACUGUGCUUGCACACCGUGUUUUCUUGAGUCGCGAACGGGUGAGUAACGCGUAGGUAACCUGCCUAUUAGCGGGGGAUAACUAUUGGAAACGAUAGCUAAUACCGCAUAAUAUUAAUUAUUGCAUGAUAAUUGAUUGAAAGAUGCAAGCGCAUCACUAGUAGAUGGACCUGCGUUGUAUUAGCUAGUUGGUAAGGUAAGAGCUUACCAAGGCGACGAUACAUAGCCGACCUGAGAGGGUGAUCGGCCACACUGGGACUGAGACACGGCCCGGACUCCUACGGGAGGCAGCAGUAGGGAAUCUUCGGCAAUGGACGAAAGUCUGACCGAGCAACGCCGCGUGAGUGAAGAAGGUUUUCGGAUCGUAAAGCUCUGUUGUAAGUCAAGAACGUGUGUGAGGGUGGAAAGUUCACACAGUGACGGAGCUACCA